GCAUGCGGGAGGCACGAGCCCAUUCUCCCGUGACGGUGACUCCAACGGUUGGCUGAGGACGAUUCCCUGAGCCUUGACAAAGCAGGAGCCCUCCGUGGCGGUGCGUCGGUGUCGAGGCUCCAGUCUGACUAAUCCAGGGGGUCGACAAAACAGAUUCGGGACACUAUGCUACACGGAGGGCCUACCAGGAUGCAGAAACAGCAGACGGAGUCCAGGGAAAGCAGUGCGGCAUCCCAGCCUCAGGCCUGCCCGUACGGUGUUCGGAAAUACUAGGCUUUAGAAUUUCACCAUAUGAAUUUUGGGAGAGAGGAGCACAGUUCAGCCCAUAACUAACACACGACGGAAUGAAGUUGAUAAUAGUGAGACCUUGUUGGUACAAGACUAUGUAACAUAACCUGCGCUUCUCAACAAAGAAUUGCUUUUCUGACUUCUGCACUCAAUAGCAAGACAAAUCUCUCCUCUGCCUUCUCCUUAUCAGACUACUCAACAUGAAGGCAAUAAGAAUGAAGACCUCUAUGUAUAAUAAUUGACUUCCACUUAAUAAAUAAGGUUACUUGGUACACUGGUCGACAAAACCUUGAAAUGUUGAUGUUUAAGGGCUGUUGAUUGCUGGCAGCAAAGAAGUCCAACUGUGCUGGUACCCGAGAUAGCGUCUCCACAUUUUCUUCCAGGAUCAUCACCUUUGUUCUAAAUAGCUCCCACAUAGUGUGAACAGAAGUCAUAUGUUUUAGAUUUUCUGCCUUGGCACCCAGGAAACCAGUAUGAUUGAGUAAACAUAUUAAACUUCCUCUGCAUUUCCAGCCUGAACAGAUGUUGAGUACAAGCUGAUCCACCUACGUUCAACCUGAGAGAGUCCACAUCCACAGACUGUUUCAUUUCCCUUUUUCAAUUUACAUAGAAGCAUAGAUUCUUGCUGGCAUAUACAAAUGCGCCAUUUAAGGCAAUCAAAAAUGGUUCCACAUCUCAUCUGAUUUCCACAAUUGUUGCUGUAACGAUGGACUACUGAGGAGAGAGACAAUUUCUCUGGCACAUCUUCCCACAUUUUAGCAACAUGUUCAUGGAGAGCCAAUAUUCAGUAAUUACAGCCCAAUUCCUCACAAUUUCACAAUUCGCUAACAAUAUGCAUUUUCACAAUGUAAAGCUGAUUUUCCUUUAACCAAAUCAAACAUGAAAAGAUAGCUGCAUGCAAUGGGCAAUCUAGAUCAUUAGAAGAUUGAUGUAAAAUUAGAGGACACUGAGACUGGAAUAGAUUGCAAACUUCAGGGAGCUCAGAAAACUUGUAAACUCUACAUUUUGAGGAAAUAUGUUGUCGAUGCUUUUGCAACUCUAUGCAGUAACUUAACAAAUAAAGCCUUAAAGUAACUUA
Homo sapiens (human) is the source of this 1366-nucleotide long non-coding RNA. Ensembl annotates it as MIR663A host gene. Its record names the gene MIR663AHG. The record is from Ensembl. NCBI's taxonomy places the organism in Eukaryota, Metazoa, Chordata, Mammalia, Primates, Hominidae.